GAUCAUGGCUCAGGGUGAACGCUAGCUAUAGGCUUAACACAUGCAAGUCGAGGGGAAACGGCAUUAUGUGCUUGCACAUUUUGGACGUCGACCGGCGCACGGGUGAGUAUCGCGUAUCCAACCUGCCCUUUACUUGGGGAUACCCCGUUGAAAGACGGCCUAAUACCCGAUGUAAUUCAUUGAUGGCAUCAGAUAUGAAUAAAAGAUUUAUCGGUAAAGGAUGGGGAUGCGUCUGAUUAG
This 240-nucleotide ribosomal RNA is filed under the name uncultured bacterium. RNAcentral describes it as "partial 16S ribosomal RNA". It matches the Rfam family "Bacterial small subunit ribosomal RNA", at positions 15 to 244 of the family's 1533-position model. The record is from RNAcentral.